Long non-coding RNA from Mytilus trossulus (common blue mussel), 213 nucleotides. RefSeq lists it as uncharacterized. Lineage: Eukaryota; Metazoa; Mollusca; Bivalvia; Mytilida; Mytilidae. The transcript is spliced from 3 exons. The record is from RefSeq and is a predicted model, not a curated record.
GACAACCUGGAAUGAAGCUUUUGCCAUUUGUUCCCAGACAGAUGGUGCCUACAUGUGGAGACCGAACACUCAACAAGAGGCCAAAGCUGUUUUGAUUGAACUUAAUAUUCCACUCAAUGCUGAGGAAGUGUGGACCGGAGCAAAUGAUUUAGAUCAGGAUGGGAACUAUGAAUUUGCCGUAGAAAAUGGUCCAUUUUCAUUAAAUAAUCCCCC